Brassica oleracea var. oleracea is the source of this 340-nucleotide long non-coding RNA. RefSeq lists it as uncharacterized. Lineage: Eukaryota; Viridiplantae; Streptophyta; Magnoliopsida; Brassicales; Brassicaceae. The record is from RefSeq and is a predicted model, not a curated record. The transcript is spliced from 2 exons.
ACGCACAAUUCAUAUAUAAAUAGAGAUUAUAUUUACAUGUACUGGUCUAUAAAAAUGACAAAAUUCACGACUCUUGCGAUCUUCAUCGUCUUAUUUCUAGGGAUGGUGGCGAAAGAGACACAAGGACAGCAUAUCUGUCGUCAGAUUCUCUUAAACGACAACUGCGAUGGACCCACGUGCUCAGCUCUGUGUGACCAGAAAUUGGGUGGAACUGGCCAGUGUUACCGAACCGUUGACAAACGCUUUAUUUGCCUCUGCAAUUAUAUUUGCAAGAGUUGAUUUUUUCCUGUUUUAUUCUUAUCUAAUAGGCUAUGUGAAUGUUAUAAUAAAAACUUUAAUA